AAGGAUUUAAGUUAAUUUAUAAACUAGCAACCUUCAAAGUUGGAAAUAAAGCUCUUUAAGCCUUA
Molecule: transfer RNA, 65 nt
Filed under: Sclerotia substriata
Lineage: Eukaryota; Metazoa; Arthropoda; Insecta; Coleoptera; Lampyridae
Description: tRNA-Trp
Source: RNAcentral